RNAcentral lists this long non-coding RNA (793 nucleotides) under Cricetulus griseus (Chinese hamster). Its description in RNAcentral is "lncRNA (ENSCGRG00015034325.1)". Lineage: Eukaryota; Metazoa; Chordata; Mammalia; Rodentia; Cricetidae. The record is from RNAcentral.
UAGAAAUUUCCCCCACAAUAACACCCUCUGUCUUAGUUACAUUUCCUGUCACUUUGAUAAAAUACUUUGGCAAAAGCAAUUUAAGGGAGGAGAGGGUUUGUUCUGUUGAAGUUGCAGGGUACAGAACCUCAUGGAGGGAGCUGGUGGGGGCGGGGCAGCUGGCCAUAUUACACUCACAGUCAGGGAGCAGGGACAAUGACUGCGGCUGCUGCGAUUUCUUUCCAACGGAGUCCCAGACGCCAGCCCUGAGAGUGUUCUAUCCCGAUUAGGGCAGGUCUUCCUAAUUUAGUUAAGGCACUUUUGGGCAUGCAUGCCCUGUGGUUUAUCUUUGUUGAUUCUAGGUCCUGUCAAGUUGACAGUCAAUGUUAAUCAUGACAUCAGCAUUGGUUUUCUCUUUGCUCUCAGGCAUCCAGCUGCCUGUCAUUCCUAAUCUCUGUGGUUAUAUGAAUUGUUAAUGGCCCCAAGUGGACGCCCUGGGCCAUGGUGUGGAAGUGUGGGUGUGAGAACUUCUAACUUCUUUCCCUCGGCCAUGCAGAUGCUCUGUGUUGCCAUGGAAGAGUCACCAGAUGAAAACAGCCAACUUUGUGCCAUUUCAAGAUGAACAGCAAACCUGGAGCAGGCAUAGUUUGGUGCCAUAGAAGAGAAGUACUGUCUCGUUUGCUCCAUCAACAAUGAGAUGAACUCAAAAGGUUCUGAUGUUCUAGGAUUCUGCUCCAAUUGUGCGUCCUGCUGGAGAUGAGGCUGCUUUUGGAUCAUGUAGGUAGGUGGAUGAGUAAUUGAGAAAAACACAAAA